Molecule: long non-coding RNA, 1807 nt
Organism: Onychomys torridus (southern grasshopper mouse)
Lineage: Eukaryota; Metazoa; Chordata; Mammalia; Rodentia; Cricetidae
Exons: 4
Source: RefSeq, a predicted model, not a curated record
AAGCCAAUGAUAUUAAAUGUUAAUCUGGCAUUGUGUCCUGAACAAAAGGCACUGAAGUGUUCUUUCUCAUUCUAGACCACUGUUCAUGGUGCUGCAGGGAAGUAAGCUUCUGGUUUAUAUGAGUGACAUGCUGUUAUGAUCCUCAUCAUCAGCUCAGGUCUAUUAGAGGAGAACGGAAGAGGGAAAAUAGUUUUCCCAAGGAAAUCCUUUGGAUCUAGAAGUUUCUUCUAGGGAAUAUGAAACCUGGUAUCUUAGGUGAUACACUCAUCCAUGCUCAGCUUAGCUUGCUUAGCUUCUUUGGCCUGGCAGUUCCAUAGUCUUCACACUUGGUUGCAUCUGAGGUCUGGUCCUUGGUUCCUGUAUAUUCAGCAUGGACACCUCCUACCACAUGCACGUACCAUCACACCCCAGCUUACCAAGGACUGAGCACCUAGGCUUAUAUUCAAGACUUCUGUGUUUUGUCAAUUGCAGCAUCUUUGCUAUGUAUACAAAGCUUUCUGUUUUCCUAGAAGCAUGAUGAUUUAAUUAUCCUUAGUAUUUUCUUACCACCCUUCCUUAGUCUAUAAGUCUCAAAUUAGUGCAUCUUCAGAUUGUGUGUGUUAGAAUAUCUGAUUUAAAAAAAAAUUACUGUUCGAUUGGCUGAUAAGUCAAAAAAUUGCUAAAAUGAAUUGCUACAAUUUCUGAAAUGGCACUAAAAUGACCUCUGUCAUAGUUGCAUAUUUUUGAGACAUGGCAUUCUAAGCAUUGAUGAUUAUAAAAUCAAAUGAUCAGUUUCUGAAAAUGCUGAAGAUGCUGCAUGCCCGGCAUUAAGACAUUAACUCUUUAUGUGAAAGCAAAAUAAGCACAUCAAUCUCAUUCACAUACAAAAUUUCUUUUGUGUUUAAGAUUAUGUCAUAUUUUUAAAGUACAUUUCUCUAUUAUUUAUUAUGAGUGAAUGUUUGGUUUGUGUACCUAUUAUGUUAUACUAAUAUACCUCAGAAUUUCUUGGGCAGAGGCUGCCACAAUGGGCAAAGUUUAAGAAUCCCUUGGCUCUACUACCUGAAACAACCCUUGGACAAAAAAUAAUAAUAAUAAAAAAAAAAUCAUGGUUCAUUCCUGCUGGAUUCUGCUCAACUGUUUUUCAUGUUUAAAAGCAGAAGCACCAAAGACAGAAAAUGCUCGACUAAAUCUUCCGCUAUUCCUUACUGGUCAUGUGAUAUUGAAAUAGUUAUUCCAUCAGUUUCCUUACCUGUAACAUAUUAUAAUGAUGUCCACUUCAUAGAAAGAUUAAAGUGUUUAGUAUAUUGCCUGUCUAAAAUGAGAGAUCAUUAAAUGGUAUUUUUCUUGUGAGUACAUUGAAUUUAUUGUGUUUGUUACUAAAUGUAAUUCCCUACUUAAAAAUUACUUCUUACAGAAAUAUUUAGUCUGUAUUUGAAUAUCAGUUAAGAGCAUGGUGGAAACUGGUAACUGUUUUAAAAUAUUAGUAACCACUCAUAAAAUAAUGUAUAAAUUCCAGCGAGAAACAAUUAUCAGUGACACACUUGAAAAUUUCAUUUAUAUCUUUUAUAAAUAUGCUUUGCAUUUAUUCUAAAAGUAUGGAUGAUGAUGUGUAUCUAGCAUUUUGUCUUCAAAACCAAAAAAAAAUAGAUGACUAAGAAAUUUUGUAUUACUCAGAAUAAGAAGAAUGUAACUGAUUUACAUAUUCUCUUAUUGUUGGAUAUUUAGCUUGUUUGUAAUUUUUUUCAUUAUGAAAAACAUUGCCACAAACAUCCUUCUACACGUGUAUUUAAAAGUAUAAUUAAUAUUGUAUUAAAUAUAUGAAUAUUUU